AAUCAACGCUGGCGGCGUGCCUAACACAUGCAAGUCGAACGAGAAAGGGUAGCAAUACCUGAGUAAAGUGGCGCACGGGUGAGUAACACGUGACUAACCUACCCUGGAGUGGGGGAUAACCGAGGGAAACCUCAGCUAAUACCGCAUAACACCUACGGGUCAAAGGAGCAAUUCGCUUCAGGAGGGGGUCGCGGCCGAUUAGUUAGUUGGCGGGGUAAUGGCCCACCAAGACUGUGAUCGGUAUCCGGCCUGAGAGGGCGCACGGACACA
Molecule: ribosomal RNA, 270 nt
Filed under: uncultured bacterium
Lineage: Bacteria
Description: partial 16S ribosomal RNA
Rfam family: Bacterial small subunit ribosomal RNA
Source: RNAcentral